This 71-nucleotide transfer RNA is filed under the name Marmota monax (woodchuck). RNAcentral's name for it is "tRNA.Ala". The record is from RNAcentral. Lineage: Eukaryota; Metazoa; Chordata; Mammalia; Rodentia; Sciuridae.
UGGGGUUGUGGGUCAGUGGUAGAGUGCUCGCCUAGCAUGCAAGGCCCUGGGUUGGAUCCUCAGCACCACAA